GAUGUGUAGGAUAGGUGGGAGGCUUUGAAGUGUGGACGCCAGUCUGCAUGGAGCCGACCUUGAAAUACCACCCUUUAAUGUUUGAUGUUCUAACGUGGACCCGUAAUCCGGGUUGCGGACAGUGUCUGGUGGGUAGUUUGACUGGGGCGGUCUCCUCCUAAAGAGUAACGGAGGAGCACGAAGGUUGGCUAAUCCUGGUCGGACAUCAGGAGGUUAGUGCAAUGGCAUAAGCCAGCUUGACUGCGAGCGUGACGGCGCGAGCAGGUGCGAAAGCAGGUCAUAGUGAUCCGGUGGUUCUGAAUGGAAGGGCCAUCGCUCAACGGAUAAAAGGUACUCCGGGGAUAACAGGCUGAUACCGCCCAAGAGUUCAUAUCGACGGCGGUGUUUGGCACCUCGAUGUCGGCUCAUCACAUCCUGGGGCUGAAGUAGGUCCCAAGGGUAUGGCUGUUCGCCAUUUAAAGUGGUACGCGAGCUGGGUUUAGAACGUCGUGAGACAGUUCGGUCCCUAUCUGCCGUGGGCGCUGGAGAACUGAGGGGGGCUGCUCCUAGUACGAGAGGACCGGAGUGGACGCAUCACUGGUGUUCGGGUUGUCAUGCCAAUGGCACUGCCCGGUAGCUAAAUGCGGAAGAGAUAAGUGCUGAAAGCAUCUAAGCACGAAACUUGCCCCGAGAUGAGUUCUCCCUGAGACUUAGAGUCUCCUGAAGGAACGUUGAAGACGACGACGUUGAUAGGCCGGGUGUGUAAGCGCAGCGAUGCGUUGAGCUAACCGGUACUAAUGAACCGUGAGGCUUAACCUU
This 798-nucleotide ribosomal RNA is filed under the name Salmonella enterica subsp. enterica serovar Thompson. RNAcentral's name for it is "partial 23S ribosomal RNA". It matches the Rfam family "Bacterial large subunit ribosomal RNA", at positions 2133 to 2925 of the family's 2925-position model. Lineage: Bacteria; Pseudomonadati; Pseudomonadota; Gammaproteobacteria; Enterobacterales; Enterobacteriaceae. RNAcentral also lists the same sequence under 2 other names. The record is from RNAcentral.